CCUACGGGAGGCAGCAGUGGGGAAUAUUGCACAAUGGGGGAAACCCUGAUGCAGCGACGCCGCGUGAAGGAAGAAGUAUUUCGGUAUGUAAACUUCUAUCAGCAGGGAAGAAAAUGACGGUACCUGACUAAGAAGCCCCGGCUAACUACGUGCCAGCAGCCGCGGUAAUACGUAGGGGGCAAGCGUUAUCCGGAUGUACUGGGUGUAAAGGGAGCGGAGGCGGUGCAGCAAGUCAGAAGUGAAAGCCCGCGGCUCAACUCCGGGACUGCUUUUGAAACUGUUGAACUAGAUUGCAGGAGAGGUAAGUGGAAUUCCUAGUGUAGCGGUGAAAUGCGGAGAUAUUAGGAGGAACACCAGUGGCGAAGGCGGCUUACUGGACUGUAAAUGACGCUGAGGCUCGAAAGCGUGGGGAGCAAACAUGAUUAGAUACCCUUGUAGUC
RNAcentral lists this ribosomal RNA (440 nucleotides) under uncultured bacterium. RNAcentral's name for it is "partial 16S ribosomal RNA". It matches the Rfam family "Bacterial small subunit ribosomal RNA", at positions 338 to 795 of the family's 1533-position model. The record is from RNAcentral.